RNAcentral lists this ribosomal RNA (397 nucleotides) under uncultured bacterium. RNAcentral describes it as "partial 16S ribosomal RNA". It matches the Rfam family "Bacterial small subunit ribosomal RNA", at positions 523 to 918 of the family's 1533-position model. The record is from RNAcentral.
AUACGUAGGGGGCGAGCGUUGUCCGGAAUGAUUGGGCGUAAAGGGCGCGUAGGCGGCGCGGUAAGUCUGGAGUGAAAGUCCUGCUUUCAAGGUGGGAAUUGCUUUGGAUACUGCCGCGCUUGAGUGCAGGAGAGGUUAUCGGAAUUCCCGGUGUAGCGGUGAAAUGCGUAGAGAUCGGGAGGAACACCAGUGGCGAAGGCGGGUAACUGGACUGCAACUGACGCUGAGGCGCGAAAGUGUGGGGAGCAAACAGGAUUAGAUACCCUGGUAGUCGACACUGUAAACGAUGAAUGCUAGGUGUAAGAGGUAUCGACCCCUUUUGUGCCGGAGUCAACACAAUAAGCAUUCCGCCUGGGGAGUACGGCCGCAAGGUUGAAACUUAAAGGAAUUGGCGGGG